CCGCCUUUAGCUCAGUGGUCGAGCGUUGGCUUUGGAAGCCACAGGUCGGUGGUUCGAACCCGCCAGGGCACA
Molecule: transfer RNA, 72 nt
Organism: Phytophthora infestans T30-4
Lineage: Eukaryota; Oomycota; Peronosporomycetes; Peronosporales; Peronosporaceae
Rfam family: tRNA
About the family: Transfer RNA (tRNA) molecules are approximately 80 nucleotides in length. Their secondary structure includes four short double-helical elements and three loops (D, anti-codon, and T loops).
Source: Rfam